CAAAUGGCCCCACGUUUGACUCUAGAAUACUUUGGUAUACAGAGGAGUUCAUGGUCGACUCAGUGACUGUAAAAUCAGUCUAAAUUAUUAUGCCUCCGCCACCGUGCUUGACAAUUGGUCUGAGGUGUUUGUGCUGAUAUGUGUGUUAUGGCCAAUUAUCUCCAUUUUGGUUUGUUCAGAUGCAACUUUACAAAUUUAAGCUGUGCUGGCAUGUUCUUUUUAGAUAUAAGAGGGUUUCUUCUGGCACCCCUGGGGAUAUCUGCUCCUGAGAAGAUGGGUAACUGUGAAUAAUUCUCACUGUGGAAUGAUGGACUUCACUUUGAUUUAAAAUGUCCUUUUAAGCCUUCCCAUGGCAGCAACAAUCACUUCUUUAUAACCAUUGUAGCCUCCUUUGUUUGAACCCACAUAACUCGUUCUAGAGAAAAAGUAAAAAGAGUUAUCUUAAUCUGAAGGACUUUUUGUCUUGUACCCAAGUGUAUUCAGCAAAUAAAUAAAAUUGAUCAUGCUUUAUGUGCCAAUGUGCAUGGCAUUUGGUCCUCAGGAAAAGUCAGAAGAUGAACAAAAUCAUUACAGGUUUUCCUCCAGGGAUGACUUGCCUUGCAGACAGCUUCACAUAAAACCACCCAAUAACUGUUGAGACUGUUGAUCGCAACAUGAAGUGGGAGAUUGACUUUAUCCCUUGAGCUACACUGUUAGAAUGGGGGGAAAAAGUUCCCAAAACUCUGCUGAAGAGUAGGAAAAAGCCAGUAGCCAGUACAUACCUGACGGCGUCAGAACAACUUCAAAGCAGCCGUACUCUUAGAAAAACAAAAGUUUUGACUUGUCCCAGAAAUGCUGAGGCAUCUGUGAAGUAGGAGGUACAGUUACUUUUUUUUCAUUCUCUUUUAUUUCUUUUGGAAAGUUUGGAUUUACAUUGAAUUUGAACACGCGGCUUGACCAGCAUUUGAACCAUCCAAAUACAUGUGUGUUUAAAAUCACUUGGCGCACCCUGAUUAUACACGGGUGACCUCCAUUCAUCUUAUUAUGCAACUUCUAAAAACAACAGCUGCACCAGCAAUGUUUUUGGGUGUGUCUCAGACAAGCGUGUCACAACUUAUGUAAUCUUUUUUUAUACAGUAUAUGUACAUAUUUCAGAAGUUUGUAGAAAUGUCUUCUUUUUCUCUUUGCCAUAUUUCUUUAUUUCAAAAAGUGUUAGCACUUUUUCUUUCCUGUUAUUAUUAUUACACAGUGUUCCUGUCAGUCAUCUGAAGCGCUGACAUUUAUCACCACUGAGAAUCAAUUUAUAUAUACCACCUCGUGUUUACGUUACCCAUCUGUGGUUCUGUCUGAUCAGACAAGAAAAGGGAAGUGACUGUUCUUUGCAAAUAACUUCUCCAACAGUUUCUUGGAAUCAGAUGUUCCAGCUAAUCAGCCCUGCCUUCACAGGACGUUUUUAACGCAUUGCCAGAUACACUCACUAGGUCCACCUCUCCCAAGUUGAGCUGCGCCCGACCCAAGGUCCGCCAGCCCUCCCACCACAAUGGCCGGAACUUCA
This is a long non-coding RNA of Oreochromis niloticus (Nile tilapia), 1534 nucleotides long. RefSeq lists it as uncharacterized. The record is from RefSeq and is a predicted model, not a curated record. NCBI's taxonomy places the organism in Eukaryota, Metazoa, Chordata, Actinopteri, Cichliformes, Cichlidae. The transcript has 3 exons.